CGGGGCGGCCUUAAGGGUCGUCCUGAUGGGGCAGAAGUCAGCCGAGGUCGUAGUACCGGCGGGAAUCGUGAGGUUCGCCGGGAAGGGC
Molecule: non-coding RNA, 88 nt
Filed under: Arthrobacter sp. ok909
Lineage: Bacteria; Bacillati; Actinomycetota; Actinomycetes; Micrococcales; Micrococcaceae
Source: RNAcentral